Molecule: ribosomal RNA, 392 nt
Filed under: uncultured bacterium
Lineage: Bacteria
Description: bacterial SSU rRNA
Rfam family: Bacterial small subunit ribosomal RNA
Source: RNAcentral
GCCUAACACAUGCAAGUCGAACGGCAGCACAGGAGAGCUUGCUCUCUGGGUGGCGAGUGGCGGACGGGUGAGGAAUACAUCGGAAUCUACUUUUCGUGGGGGAUAACGUAGGGAAACUUACGCUAAUACCGCAUACGACCUACGGGUGAAAGCAGAGGGAUCUUCAGGACCUUGCGCGAUUGAAUGAGCCGAUGUCGAGAUUAGCUAGUAGGCGGGGUAAAGGCCCACCAAAGGCGACGAUCCNGUAGCUAGGUCUGAGCAGGAUGAUCAUGCCACACUGGAACUGAGACACGGAUCCAGACUCCUACGGGAGGCAGCCAGUGGGGAAUAAUUGGAACAAUGGGCGCAAGGCCUGACUCCAGACCAUACCGCGUAGGGUGAAGAAGGCCUUC